RNAcentral lists this unclassified non-coding RNA (352 nucleotides) under soil metagenome. Its description in RNAcentral is "partial contains 5.8S ribosomal RNA, internal transcribed spacer 2, and large subunit ribosomal RNA". The stretch from base 1 to 120 matches the Rfam family "5.8S ribosomal RNA", at positions 35 to 154 of the family's 154-position model. The record is from RNAcentral.
GAUGAAGAACGCAGCGAAAUGCGAUAAGUAAUGUGAAUUGCGGAAUUCAGUGAAUCAUCGAAUCUUUGAACGCACAUUGCGCCCGCCAGUAUUCUGGCGGGCAUGCCUGUUCGGGCGUCAUUACAACCCUCAGGCCCCCGGGCCUGGCGUUGGGGAUCGGCGGAGCCCCCCGUGGGCACACGCCGUCCCCCAAAUGCAGUGGCGGUCCCGCCGCAGCUUCCAUCGCGUAGUAGCUAACACCUCGCGACUGGAGAGCGGCGCGGCCACGCCGUAAAACACCCAACCCUUCUGAAGUUGACCUCGAAUCAGGUAGGAAUACCCGCUGAACUUAAGCAUAUCAAUAAGCGGAGGA